Molecule: ribosomal RNA, 248 nt
Filed under: uncultured bacterium
Lineage: Bacteria
Description: partial 16S ribosomal RNA
Rfam family: Bacterial small subunit ribosomal RNA
Source: RNAcentral
UACGUAGGGUGCAAGCGUUAAUCGGAAUUACUGGGCGUAAAGCGUGCGCAGGCGGUUUUGCAAGACAGAUGUGAAAUCCCCGGGCUUAACCUGGGAACUGCAUUUGUGACUGCAAGGCUAGAGUGUGUCAGAGGGAGGUGGAAUUCCGCGUGUAGCAGUGAAAUGCGUAGAGAUGCGGAGGAACACCGAUGGCGAAGGCAGCCCCUUGGACCUGUACUGACGCUCAUGCACGAAAGCGUGGGGAGCAA